GACGAACGCUGGCGGCGUGCUUAACACAUGCAAGUCGAACGGUGAAGCGCCUUCCUUUUUGGUGGGUGUGGAUGAGUGGCGAACGGGUGAGUAACACGUGAGUAACCUGCCCCCUUCUUCUGGAUAACCGCAUGAAAGUGUGGCUAAUACGGGAUAUUCUGGGUCUGUCGCAUGAUGGGUCUGGGAAAGAUAUUGUUUCGGUGGGGGAUGGGCUCGCGGCCUAUCAGCUUGUUGGUGGGGUGAUGGCCUACCAAGGCGGUGACGGGUAGCCGGCCUGAGAGGGUGGACGGUCACACUGGGACUGAGACACGGCCCCGACUCCUACGGGAGGCAGCAGUGGGGAAUAUUGCACAAUGGGCGCAAGCCUGAUGCAGCGACGCCGCGUGAGGGAUGGAGGCCUUCGGGUUGUGAACCUCUUUCGCCAGUGAAGCAGGCCUGCCUCGUUUGUGGGUGGGUUGACGGUAGCUGGAUAAGAAGCGCCAGCUAACUACGUG
Molecule: ribosomal RNA, 494 nt
Filed under: uncultured bacterium
Lineage: Bacteria
Description: partial 16S ribosomal RNA
Rfam family: Bacterial small subunit ribosomal RNA
Source: RNAcentral